Molecule: non-coding RNA, 73 nt
Organism: Triticum aestivum (bread wheat)
Lineage: Eukaryota; Viridiplantae; Streptophyta; Magnoliopsida; Poales; Poaceae
Source: Rfam
UUACAUCANACUCAGUUGGUAGAGUACAAAGCUCUUAACCUUGUGGACGUGGGUUCAAGCCCCAUGGUGGAGA